This 68-nucleotide transfer RNA is filed under the name Laemobothrion tinnunculi. RNAcentral describes it as "tRNA-Ser". The record is from RNAcentral. Lineage: Eukaryota; Metazoa; Arthropoda; Insecta; Psocodea; Laemobothriidae.
GGGGGGUAAAGACUUUUUGUCUAACUUAGCUUCUAACUAAGAAGAGGUAUUAAAUCUACCACCCUCUU